ACUCAAUAGAUACCCGGGUAGUCCACGCCCUAAACGAUGUCGACUGGUUGUUGGGGGUUUGACACUCUCAGUAAACGAAAGCUAAACGCGUGAAGUCGACCGCCUGGGGAGUACGGCCGCAAGGUUAAACUCAAAGGAAUUGACGGGGACCCGCACAAGCGGUGGAUUAUGUGGAUUAAUUCGAUGCAACGCGAAAAACCUUACCUACCCUUGACAUGUCCGAGAGCCCGGUGAGAGCUGGGUGUGCCCGAAAGGGAAUCGGAACACAGGUGCUGCAUGGCUGUCGUCAGCUCGUGUCGUGAGAUGUUGGGUUAAGUCCCGCAACGAGCGCAACCCUUGUCAUUAGUUGCUACAUUCAGUUGGGCACUCUAAUGGGACUGCCGGUGACAAACCGGAGGAAGGUGGGGAUGACGUCAAGUCCUCAUGGCCCUUAUGGGUAGGGCUUCACACGUAAUACAAUGGCGCGUACAGAGGGUUGCCAAGGGGCGACCUGGAGCCAAUCCCUUAAAGCGCGUCGUAGUCCGGAUUGCAGUCUGCAACUCG
RNAcentral lists this ribosomal RNA (543 nucleotides) under uncultured bacterium. RNAcentral's name for it is "bacterial SSU rRNA". It matches the Rfam family "Bacterial small subunit ribosomal RNA", at positions 772 to 1314 of the family's 1533-position model. The record is from RNAcentral.